UAAGAACAUCAAUAGUGAUACAUUAAAAAAAAAUAGCCCCCUAUUUUCAAAAUAUGUGCAAACAGUCCUCAACAUUCACCCCUGCAAAUUUCUCUCCCUCUCCUCUUUCAGAAAACAAGCAAUCCAAGAUGUAUUAAACAGCAAUUCCUCCAUACAUACUUCCACAUCUAUCAUGCUGCACAAGAAAAGCCAGAUCAAAAAGGGAAAAAAUGAGAAAGAAAUUAAAGGCAAGCGAACAACAACAAAAAGAAAAUCUGGAAAGAAGAAAUCUAUACCUGUCACUUUGAAAUGGAAAACUAUUCAG
Long non-coding RNA from Antechinus flavipes (yellow-footed antechinus), 304 nucleotides. RefSeq lists it as uncharacterized. NCBI's taxonomy places the organism in Eukaryota, Metazoa, Chordata, Mammalia, Dasyuromorphia, Dasyuridae. The record is from RefSeq and is a predicted model, not a curated record. The transcript is spliced from 2 exons.